AAGAAUGCAUUCGUUCACAUUAUCACCACACAGUGAAAUUUAAGAAAUUCAGAUGGAGUCCGGUAUCAGAUAUCAUUGUAGAACAUAUGACCCAUCUGAAUGUUGCCAGUUGUCCUACGUCUUUUAUGCAGUUACUUUUGUAUUUGGCCCAGGAUCCUAUAUUCUUAUAUCAUGGCUAUUUCGAUUUUUGGAACACUUGGAUAACACAGAAAUAAUGAGUCAAUUCAAAGUGAAAUAAAUUCAAUUUUAACCUAAUACUGUAUAAUCAGUUGAAGGCAAACUAUAUCCCAUAAACUGGUGCUUUUGAGCCAUAGGUCCACAGUUAGUUGAGAGCUGUUUGAGGUUGUAGAAGCUUUAAGGGGUGUUCCCUUAAGGAGUGGCUGAUAAAGUGUGUCAUUAUUGACGGGUUAGGGCUGUAUAUUCAGCCCCUUCUUCCUGGUUACUAGCUGCACCCUAACUUCGAAUGGGAUGGAAUCAGUAGGCUCUCUGUCCCUGCCAUCAUGCCUUGAUUGUCACGAAGGACUGUAUCCUGGAACUGUAAAUGAACAUAAACUUUUCCUUCUUUAAGUUGCUUUUAUCAGGGUUUUUAUUUGUUGUUGUUUAUUUUUAUUACAACAGGUAGUAUAGUCAAUACAUAUGGAUGAGAUAAAAUGUUUUAAAGAUGUGUUCAAUGAAAGCUCAUAGUAAAAUUAUUUUAGUAGGUUAGUAGGUCAGCAGUGCUACCUGAAAAUGAAGAUGGUUGUGAAGAAAGGUAUCUAUUCAGAAGCUUUACCAGGCUAAUAAGGACUCCCUCUACACAUAAAAACUCUCUGUAAUGUCUAUUAAAUCAAUGUCUACAUGACAGUUCAUUGAAUCCCUUUUCUUUCCUGAUAAGCCAUGUUCUUUAAAAGAUCUUGAUCUUGCUAACUGCUGUUUGUGCAAACACACAGGUUUGGAAACACAACCCUAGAGAUUUGGGAAGAGUACUAUGGUGACAGGAAAAACUAUUUUUCAAGCCAGUCUAGAUCAGUAAAACACGUCUACAAAUUGAUAGUGUUCCUCAGAGUAAACAAGGUGGUAUGUGAUAUUUGAAUGGAAAUCUCUAUGAAAAACACUCAGGGUAUAAGUUUUACACACAUCCAACUUAAUAGAAAACACAGACAAUGAAAAUGAUGGUUUCAUUUUUGGACCAGGAAACUAAAGUGAGAGAUGUGAGGAGAUUUGUUCAAUCCUGUGGCAAAAUUAGUACCAACUGCUAAGUCUUCUGACUCAUAGUCUAAUUCCUUUCCUGGUACAGAAUGCUCUCCCCAGGGUCUGUUUUCUUAGCAGCAGAAAGUUUAGUGAUGGCUGAAUGUAUUUUAUUUUAAAAAACUAGAUAAUUUAUAAUAUAUCAAUCAUACUAUCAAUAUAGGACGUGCUAGUUAAUGUAAACUACAUGGCUUUAUAGACUUGGCAUAAUGUUAUAUUAAUUUGAUAUUCUGAAAAAGAAUAUAUUUCAGAUUAGCAAUUCAAAAAUUCAAACUAGCAAAUGAUUCAAUCCAAAAGAAAAUCACACACCUAAUUUAGAGCUGCACCACAUAUUCAUUAAGACUCUCUCCUUUCCUUCGUUUUUUUUUUUUUUAAUUUGACACGUUCUUGCUCUGUAAUCCAGGCUGUCUUCAAUCUUCAGAUCCUUCUGCCUCCUCAUACGCUUAAAUAUCAGGAUUACAGUGGUGUGCCACCAACCAUACCCACCUUAAAUGUGACAUCAUUUUUACAACUUUCCAACCAAGACAGAUUUUAAUUGUUUGAAAUAAAAUCAAAGUUAUGUCUGUGUCCUUUUCCACGGUGCUUUGCUUCUCUGUUAGGAAGACAGUUUGAUGUAAUUAAUAGAACAAAAUUGUUGUACGUUGACUAAUGCUUAUUGACUUUGUUUUUGUUUCUUUUCUCACAUGAAGAACUAUUUCCUUAAGUCAAGCUGUUAAACUGGUGGGUGGUAUGCUUUUAUUUCUUAUAUUACUCAGAUAGUCAUCUGGCGUAUGCCACCAAGGAAGAGAUUGAGUUUCUUUGGGAAAAAUGGUAAAAUUAAGAGAAAAUUGGGAUUUUAACACGAGAGUAGCUCAGGACUGGCUGUGAGUUAAUUACUAAUAUUUUCUAAGUGACUCAUUCUAAUUUCUCGAAAUGAACAUUACAGCAUUGUUUACGCUUUCCCUCUAUCUGUGGUGAAUCUGGUCUUUGAUUUUCAGUUUUAACAAGUUCCACAAUUUUGCUCUGAUAUUCAUAAGGGUAAUUAAUUUCUUUCUAAUCUCUCUAUUUCUUUAACUACUGUCUUUAUCGAUCAUUCCCCUAUUUUAUUGACCCUUUAUAUUUGUAGCCAUCUAUCAUUUCUACUAAUUUAUUAGCCAUUUCCAUAGUGUUACUCUAAUUUUAUUUUAGUAAACUAUGGAUGAACAUCUCAUAGUCAUUGGAUAUAUAUUGAUUCGGAUGGCUUUUAGUUCCAGAACUUUGGGUAUUCAUUUUAUAGGUACUGUGAUGGUUUGUACAGGCUUGGUCCAGGGAGUGAGUGGCAUUAUUAGGAGGGGUGGCAUCGUUGGAGUAAAUGUCUCACUGUGGGCAUGAGUUUAAGACCCUCUGUCAUCCUAGCUGCUUGGAAGUCAGUCUUCCAGGAGCAGCCUUCCGUUGAAGAUGCAGAACUCUCAGCUCUGCCUGUACCACGACCGCCUGGACUUUGCCAUGUUCCCACCUUGAUGAUAAUGAACUGUAAGACAGUCCGAAUUAAAUGUUGUCCUUUGUAAGACUUGCCUUGGUCACGGUGUCCGUUCACAGCAGACAAACCCUAAGACUGAUACUAACACAUUAAAUGUGUGUAUCAUCAUUUGCAUUAUUAGGCACAAUGCUAUGUGCACAGAAGACUCUUCAUACUCCAUAGUUAAAAAGAGCUCUAUCGCAGCAACUUUUAGAUUCACACUUUAUCUUUUAGUAGCCUAACUUGAUAAAAUUGAUGUUUCUGACAGCUUUGUUCUCCCAUGAGGAUUAUUCCAAAGAACAAAGAGAAAUGUCAUUUGAGAAAGAAUUGUUUACCAAAUACUAAUAAAGUUUCUCAGAAAGAAAAAAAUCAGAGUUACAAACACACAUAUGAGUGUUAUGAAGUAUUUAAACAAUAUAUUUAAUAAAAAUUUGUAAUUGGAAAAUUUAAUGUAAAAAUUUGUCAGGAAACUAUUGGACUUACAAUUAAUUGUACUGUUCACACAUGCUUUACUUCAGCAACAAAUUAUUGUAGCUGUGAAUGAAAAUUUCUAUUCCAUAAAAAUAAAGUAUUACACGGCUAUGUAAACAUUUGUUUGGGCUGGAGAGAUGGCUCAGUGGUUAAGAGCCACUGACUACUCUUCCUAGAGGUCCUGAGUUCAAAUCCCCUCAACCACACGGUGGCUCAUAAACAUCUGUAAUGAGAUCUAAUGUUCUCUUUUUGUAUGUCUUAAGACAGCUACAGUGUACUUAUAUAUAAUAAAAAAUAUUUAAAAAGAAAACAUUUGUUUACACCAUAUGUGAAAUGCUAAAACAGCUGUGAAAAAGUUAUUAACCUGGGUUUGUAUCUUAUUUAGGAUUUCUACUGCUGAGAAGUGGCACCAUGACAAAGGCAACUCUUAUAAAGGACAAUGUUUAAUUGUGGCUGCCUUACAGGUUCUGAGGUUCAGUCCAUUGUCAUCAAGGUGGGAGCAUGGCAGCAUCCAGGCAUACAAUACCGGAGAAGCCAAGAGCUCCAUCUUAUUCUGAAGGCUGACAGGAGAAGACUGACUCUUAUCCCUGGGAAAGAGCUUCAGAGCCAACCCACACGGUCACAUUCUUUCUUUAACAAGGCCAAAUCUGUUGCAGAACCUUCCCCUAACGAAUAGAGAUUUCAAGGAGCCAAUCACUGGGCAAGUAGGUGGGACUUCCAGGAGGGAGAGGGGAAGAGGGGAAAAGAUACGGUUUUUGGACUGGAGGCCAAAGUGUAGGUAUCAGAGGCCCCAGUUUAGGUGGCAGAUCCGCUGGGUUCUGCUACCAGAAGAUUUAUAACUUAGAAGAGCUUACAAAUUAUGAUGCCAGUUGAUGUGCCCAGCGAUUAUGUUACCUGUUGAUUCUUAACUAAGUUUGUAUAGUGUUUUCCUUAAAGCAGGACUCAACUGGGUUUCAGAGAGAAAGGUAUGGCAGCAAAGUGUGGGUUUAUGAGGCGAGCCAAGUGGAGAGAUUUCAGAGCUCCAGGUCAAAGAGUCUGCCUGGUUGAGAACAGGCCCGCUGGUGCCUUGCCAGCAGUAGCAUGGAUUGCCUUUUUAAAAUAUUUCACACAACAUACACCUACUCCAACAAGGCCACACCUCCUAAUAGAGGCACUCCUUGGACUAAGCGUAUUCAAACCAACACACCUUCUAAUAGUACCAGUACCUGGGCCAAACAUAUUUAAAUCACCACAUUCUACUUCCUGGCCCACAGGCUUGUUCAAACUCUUGAGUAUAUGGGGAUCAUGCCUAGCCAUAGCAUAAUGCACAGAUUUAGUCCAACUUCCUAAGUCCCAUAAUCUAUAUCAGUCUCAACAAAGUUAAAAGAACAAAGUUCAAAGUCUCUUCUCAGAUUUGUCCUGUCACUUAACUGCAAUUCCUUAUAAAAUUAAAAUCAAGAAAGUGGAUCUCUUGCCUCCACCAUCACAGGAUAUACAUUAUCAUUCCAAACCUUCAUAGUGAAGAAAUACUGACCAAAGCAAAUCCAAAACCAAGGUGGGCAAACCCCAAACUCAGCAUCUUCAUAUCUGAUGUCAAAGCUCUCUUCAGAUCUCCCAGUGUUUUCAUCUUUGCAAACUGCAACAUAAUUCUUUGUCUGGUUCCACUUCCUGUCGGCAGCUGUACCCAUUAGGUCACACUUCCUAACAGUGCCAUUCUCUGGGCCAAGCAUAUUCAAACCACCACAGUUUGCAUGUUAUGUUGCCUAGAGUACUGUACCAUCUUUGAAAAAAAAUAAGUGAAACAAGUCCAGAGACACUGUUUGCAUAGCUUGUUAUUGGCUUUCAAUCGAGUGAUAGUAGUAUAAAGUGAAUUAUACAAGCAAAAUGUCAUCAAUGAAUUUUCAGAGGAAAAUACCAACAUAAAUUUUCUCAAACUAUAAAUGAUUAAUAUGUUCCCAAGGACAAUGGGGUCAUCACAAUUUCAUUGAUUGCCCAAAUGAGAAUUUAUGAGGUAAUGUUUUUUCACACAGGCCCCCUACUGCACUACUUUAGUAAAGGGAAAUGUGACAAUAUAUAUUUAAUUUGCAUUUUUUUUCAAAUUGACUUAUUAAAAGAAGGAUUUUAAUGAUUAAACCCAUGCUUACUUUCAAGUUUCCAAUGCGAAGUGGCUUUCUCACAUUUAUUCCUACUUCUGUAAAUCAGUCAGUGAAAAAAAUAUUAAAUAGAAAACUCCAUUAGUUUUAUAUGUAUCAACUCAGAAGGCAAAGGAUAGUGGUGAUUUAUUUUCUUGAUAUAUUUAUGUACUAAAUGCUAAUAAAAAGAAUAUUUAGAAGAUAUGUACUUAGGUGAGGUAGAAUUCAUGCGUACAUUUCAGUUUUUAGGCUUACUACAUUUCUGUAUUUUAUCUUGAGUUUCUACUUUUAUCACAUAGGUGUUGAUGAUGAAAACAUCUCUGCUCCCAAAUUUCUAGCACCCAUACAUCAAUUGAAGCAAGUCUGUGCAGUGAGAUAGAUGCUAUCCUGCAUCGAAGCUCAAAAGCAUAAAUUCUUCCAUCCGACAGAAGUGGUUGAGCAUCUCAAUAAUUCAGCAUCUAAGUUCAACAUGAUAUGGUCAAUCUUAUGAUGAGAAAAAGAACAUAAGAAGAGAACAUUUGAGGCCUCAGGAAGUUUAGAGAGAACUUCUACCAUUACCAGGAGGUUCCUUCCUCUACACACCACAGAAAUGCCACUUUGAGGGGUCUAUUUAACUCAUCACUUCAGCGUCCACUCAUCACCUAAAGUUAAUGUAGUAACAUACUGUCACUUUUGAUGUAAAAGAUGCUUUGAGGACCUGGGUUCAUUGAGGUAUGGUCACUGUGUUUGAAUUUGCUAAUUUUUCUCUCUGUUGGCUUUCAAUACAUAUUCACAGAAUAAAGAAUAGCCCAUAAGAUCCAAUGUUCCAAGCUUGUGAACUCGGAAAGAGCCCAAGUAACGGCUGUAGAAACACAAAAGUACAUUCUCUGUAAUAGGUAUUUGCUCUUUGGGUUUAUUUUUCUCCAGCCCCUGGAAAUCAUGGCUUCAUUCCUCAAAUAACAUCCAAUUUUCCUCAUGUGAAUGCCUUCUCCCUGUGUGUGCGUUUCCUAGGAAAGGCUGACACGGAAUAUUCCCUGUCCUUGCACAGAAAAUAAAGAUGCUACUGUAAUAGAGCAAGAUAAUGUAAGUACAUAUAAGGCAGGCAGUCCGUUCCAGCCACCUGAAAGCCUGUUGCUGGAUGUUUUUCCACGUUGUUUUUCAGCUGUUAUUUUCUUGGAUAAACCAGACCUAUAGCCUCCCUUUUAACUUCCUUUCAGAUAGGUCAGGUAAGGCUGAUUUCUAUUGCUUACAAGUGUCUCAAUUGCUGUAAGCCGAGAUGCAAUUAGUCUUGACACAGUAACACAAAGAGAAGUUAUUGCACAUAUCAAUAGCUUCACUUACAAGCUAGGGAAGGAUGUUAAAAAGGAGAGGUGAUUAAAGCUUACUCUGAGUUAAGAGCCCCUGGCUGCUGGAACUAAGGGUGUUAAUAGGGCAUAGUAGGUGAACCUAUGACUACUGUUUGCAAAAUGGUUACAUUGCUACUGCCUUCUAAAUACCUACAUUUAUACUGAAGAAUUAGUGCUUCACCUCUCCUUCCUGAGAGAAGCUUCACACUACAGUGGGGUUACUGUAGAAAGUUGAAAUUGGACAACCUGCCAAGAGUAAAUGAUGACAGGGUGCUACUAGGCUUAAAUGGGGCGGCUGUAUGCUCCCCUCCACAGCUCAGGGAACAUAGGAGAAGAGGUGUUAAAAAAUAUAAGAGCCAACGGACAGAGAAAUCUUCAGCUAAAUAUGUCUUCCGGGAUGACAUGCCUGUUGCAUUGGCUAAUCCCCUGCUGGUUGGUUAUCUGCACAAGAUCUGAACAAGCUCUGGCCUAUCCACAUUUCUUUACCGAUAGUAAAGGGCCCCAUGGGGACUCAAGUCUCUCUGGGGGGCACUGGGUUCCUGUCGCUGGAGUAGGAGCUGUCACUUUCUUCAAGGUUGUGACCAUGGAUAAAUUGCUCUUGCUUGGAGUGGAAGCUCCCAAGCAUGCUCUGGCAAGAGGCAGACUCAGUUCAGUGGGUUACACACAAAAGAAGACAGGAGACAAUUGAGGCGAUUUGCUGGAAAAAGGUUUCCGUAGGAGUGGACGAGGUGAGGUGACAAAAAUUCAUUAAAUAGAUUAUUCAAUUGUCGAACAAAAAAACUAUGAAUAUUUUCCCCAUGUAAUUAAGCAAUGCAUUUAGCGUUAACUUUAGCAGUUCAGCCCCAUAGAUGAACUUAUAUUCAGUUGUAAAUAUUAAGAUGCAAUUUCUUCUAAAACUCAAUUACUUCCAUCUCUUGAAGACAAGAGGGAAAUAGAAAGGAGUGGUGGUUUGUACUGUAGUCUCAGCUAUUCAGGAUAGUUGUUUGAGUAUAAGGGGUGGAGAAAUCUGGAAAACAGCAUAGCAAAAUUCUUUUUGAAAAGAAUGAAUACACACACACACACGUGUGUGUGUGAGAGAGAGAAUGAUCAAAUUUAUUGUAAUAUUAAUGAUAAUAUGUGACUCUGUUUUCCUUUGCUCAAUAUACCAUGAUCAGACAACAUGGCAUUUUUUUUAGGCACUGAAAGAAAAGAAUGAUUUGAGCCAAUUUAGCCUUUUUCUCUCACAUAUAUUAAUUUAACUAUAUUAAAAGGAGGGUUUUAGAAAUAAUCUUGUCUUCUUGUUACAUAUCAUUCAACUGAAACAUAAAAGGUAAAAUAUAAAGUAAUUAUUGUGGUUUGAGAGUGAACUAUUCACCAUAUAUUCAUACAUUUGAAUGCUUGAUUGUCAGCUGGCAGAGUGGUUUGGAAGUUUGUGGAGCCCUAAGGUUUGGGAGCUUUCAUUAGAGGAAGUGAGUCCCUGAGAUGGAGCUUGGCCCCUCAUCCUGUACACUCCCUACUGCCUGAUGGUUGGUGCCAUGGACUGUGACACAUUCCCUGCCCUGGUGGAUUGUGUUCCCUUGGAAUCUGAGCUAAAACUCGGAGUCAAAAUAAACCCUUCUUUGUCAUUAAUUGCAUAGGGGGUCUUUUAUCACAGCAACAUGUGUGAGCGGAUGUAAUACAGCUGCCAUGAAGCAUUUCUUAGAACAGUGUUUCCCCACUUUGUGGAAGAUUUUAUUCCAUUUUGACAGUCAUUCUGAUGGUUUAAUAUAGAGGCUACUUAAGUUUUACUAGACAGUAUUAGUUGGUUUUCUAAAAACAUGCAGGAACCACAUUAUUGUCAGAUUUUGAUUCCCGGUUGGGACAUUGGAAUUAUGGGAAGAUAGCAAGGCAAAGUAGGGGUUGAACCUCUCAUUCCUUGCCAAUGGUAGACAUGGAAGGAAAAUUACAUAUUGCUUUGUCAGUUUUCAAAGGCCAGAGGCUAUUGCAUCGAGUAGGAUGUGAGAGGGGUAGAUUAAUAAUGGAGAUUUAUACUUCAAAGAAUUAUGUCCACGCCUCACUUACCCCUUCAUAAAUUUUAUAGUGAAUCCUGUAGCUAUUCACUCUCAUGGAAAUGGAGGCUGUGUCACUGAGCAUACACAUGUUUAUAAUGAAGUUAAAGGUUGUCUUAUGUUCACUCUGGCAAUCAUCGUAGGUCCAUUCACAAGGUUGGCGAGUCAUCGGAAGAAGAGCUUCUGCCUUAUAGCCAUCCUAGCCUAUAGGUAAACUAAAGUGGCAUGGAGAGGAAAUUGAUCUAGAUACACUGAUGUACUCAGGGUGACAACAUUCUUCUCUUAAAAAUGGCACAUGGAUAUUUUAUUUUGCAAAAAUAUGUUGAAGACAGAAAAACCUGUAUUUAUGAAAGGAAUCAAGUUCUACCAUUAAAGCAAUUGAAAAUAAAAUCACAACUGCUGCCUGGUUAUAAUUCUGAGAUGUCAUGAAGGAUAAGAUAAAUUCCACUUUAAGAUAUGUUAUAAUAUAAAAGAUAACAUAUAUGUCCUACUACUCCUGAGGUGGUAGUUUCUCCAACUUUCAGUUUCAGUUACACAGUUAGAAUCCAUCACCCUAUCACAGGCACAGCUCAUUGUUUAGAGGAUACAAAUAUAACAUGCUGGGUCUAUUUUUGUUGUGUGUUUAUUAUUUCAGAGCCAGCCAUUUGUUGGAUAACCAAUUAGGGGACUCAUUCCUGGGAGAGGUAAUUCCCCAUCAUAGCAGUCAUUAGUUGCCUGUACAUCUUUGUCUAUGUGUGGAACCCCCUUUGCUUCUGCAUUAGCAUACAUAUUGGUAAAUAAAAUGAGUAAGAUAAAUGAGAAUGAAGUUUUCCCUCCAUGAAAAUGAUAGUUACAGAAAUGAAAAUUAGUCCAAUUUGGUAGUUUUACAUAAGAAAAAAUGAUAAUUAGUACAACUCGAUUAUUUUACAUGUAUACACAGAUUAAAAUAUAAUACUUUCCUCCAUAAAUAUUUUCAAUUAUUGUAUGUCAAUAAAAAUACCUAAGAUGGAAAAAAGUCUUAAAAUGUAACAGUAAUAGUACAUGUGUCUUUACAUUACUUUUCUUAUUUAACUCCAUGGCCUUUGAAACCCUCUAAAUCAUAAGGGCCAAUUAAAUAUUAAACAAAGUUCUAUUAUGAUAUAAUUUACAUUCAUAUAAAUUUGAAAAAAAUAAUGAUAAUCCUAUUAAUCUAUCCUAUUAUGGUCAUCUUUUAAAUGAGAGUUCUUUACUGAAACUAAGAAAUUAGCUUUAGUAUGACACUGGGCACUCUAAAGGAAUGAUUUGCUUUUCUUCAGUUGUUGGCAAUAAUUUCCUCGUGAGAGUAGAAUCAAAAUUGCCAAGACAUUCAAGAGAUAGCAUGCCUUCUUACUCAUGCCUGCCUUUCUUUAGUUAUUUUGAACAUAACAUUUAUCAAUUGAAAGAGAGUUGACUAUUUUCUAGGUUGCUUCCAAUCUGAUGUUAUGCAAUGAUUCCUUAUGAUUAAUUUCAGUAACAGAUUCAGAGGGAUUGUUGAAUGGUGACAAAUACUUGUCAUAAUUCUUUAUCAGUGCUACAUAAUUUCAAUUUAAUAGCAGUAAUUGGUAGCUUUGAAUAUUUAGUAGAGAGGAUUCUCAAAAGUUUCUUUAUGAUAAUGUUAAUACUUGAUAUACUUUCCUUCUACUUUAUGAAGUUGAUAUAUCUUUGCAUAGAUUUUUGGAAUUCUUUAAGAAAAAUGUGUCUCUUCUCUGCUUAUAUAGCUAUUAAAUAACCUAAUUUCAAUAAGAACAGCAAAGCUAAAAUAGUGAGAAAUACCACUCAAAAAAUGAAAUAUCAAAUUGUGAUACUAAUAGAUUUAAAAAAUGAAGAUAGACGUAAAGAUACUCUACAGAGCUGGAGAGAUGGCCCAGAGUUUUAUAGCACUCACUGUUCUUCCAAAUGGCCUGAGUUCAAUUCCCAGCAACCAUAUGCUGUCUCACAACCAUCUGUAAUGAGGUCUGAUGCCCUCUUCUGGCAUACGGGCAUAUAUGCAGACAGAACUCUGUGUAAGUAAUAAAUCUUUUUAAAAAUAUACUCUUAUAAAGUACAAUACAAUGUGACAAAAAAAACCCACAACCACAACCACAACCACAACCACAACAACAACAACAACAGAAAAUACAAAAUGAUGAGACACAGAGGACACAAGAAGACUCCGCAAGAAAUCUCAUCUAUCUGGAGGUCUGAGAGAAAGAAAUCUGUUAGGUCACAGUUCUACAAAUAGACAAACUACCAGAAAAAGAAUAGAAAAGAGAAAAAUAAAGAAACAAUCUUAAAUAUGUCUCAGGGUAAAAAUGCAUAUGAUUCAUGUAUAAGGCUUUAAUUUUGAUUAACUAAAAAAAUUACAUACUAGGUUGAAUCACAUCACAUUGUACUUUUCUGCAGUAAUUUCAUAUGUCAUUCAACUUAUUUCAAGGAAACGGUACAUUAAUUAAGAAGCUGGGAGGCAAAACAAACAGAUUUUGUCACAGACAUGAGAGAAGGCAAGGGGUGUUUAAUUUCUAAGCAUCCACACUUGGGUCUGCAGGCUAAAUUAACAAAACAGGAUGUCUGGAAAAAAUCUCAGUUCAAGAACCAUGAUACAUACUUUUACUAUGUAGCAAAAAACCUUCAAAUCACUAAAACAAGGGAACAAGCAAGCAAAACAAAGCAACCAAUCAACUAAGAAUUAUAAAAUGAUAAAAAAUGAGCAUAUUUUUGACAAAUAGCACAGAAAGAUGUUAAAGAAGUCUAUAUUGAGCAAACCACUGUAACUGUUGAAAGUUUAGAAUACUUCUUUAAGCACACACAAAGGUUAAUAUAAGGCUAAAAUAUUAGAACAGCAGAAGCAUUACUUUUCAUCUAAUUAACACAUGUAAAAAUCACAGUGAACAUUUUAUUUUAAAGGUCGUGAUAUACUUUAGAAUGAUUAUAUAUUUAAUUGUAAUUGAUUUUUCUUUCAUAUUUUAUAAAUUGUGGAAUGGAAAGUAAUUAUCACACAAAAAUAAGAAUGUUCUGAAAAUAGAUAUAAAUACUUGCUUCACUGUGAAGACAUUUAAAAGAACAUGAGUAUUUUUCUAAAGGUCUUAAAUUUGAGUUGGGACAUUGGUGCAAUGGUUAAAAUACAUGCCAUAUAUGUAUGGAGACCAAAGUGUGGAACCAUACCUCUUAUAUAAUUACUGGGUAUAGGUGGCAAAUUACUUGUAAUUCUAGUGUCUUGAAGACAAGAGAAGCUAGCAAGGGCAAGAUGGCUAGCUAGAUUGGCCCAUGUGGUUGAGCAUAUAAUAAAUAAUAAAGUGGAGAAUGAUCCUAGAAAGUCACUUUGUCAACAGGGAGCCUCAGUAUGCACACAUGCACAUGCACAAUGAAUCUACACAUAUAUGCACAUACACAUCAAAGCAUCCAUCGCUCAUGGACAUGCAAACCCAAAUGCAUACAUAGAAAAAGCAAAAGUCUUAAAUGUAUUCUUAUUGAGAAAUAAACUUUUCUCUCUGGUAUCACCAUGCAGGUUAAAAUGGAAUAUUUCCCUGUACUGACUUGAGUGAAAGGAAACAAACACCUUAAACUACCAGUAAUAUACUAGAGUAUAGGAGUCUUUUGAGAGAGUAUUUGGCAAAUAUUUGGCAAAAACAUAAACACAAAAAGCAAUGCAUAGUCUUUGACCUUGUAGCUCCAUUUACUGUGGAUAUAUAUCAACCUAAACAGGGUAGUAUAACGAUGGGUGACAAAUUAAAACAAGGCAAAAACAACCUGCGUGAAAUAUAGCUGCCUUUGGGUUGGUGGAUAACAUUUAGCUUCAACCCCCAAAAGCAUCAAAGAAAGAAAAAUGGGUUAUUUGAUGUAUUACUUCAGUACCAUUGAUGAGAUGAUAUGAACAUCAGAAAUUAGUUUGCCCAGAGCUCCUGAAGUGCGCUUGAAGUGGUAUUCCUCCCAAAGGUCUGCUGAGGAAAGCUUUUCUUUCCAGGGAGACAGUCGCUGGUUUGUUGCUAGCUGGUCAACAUCUAAUAGCAUGCUUGUAUAUUCUUUUCUCUGUUGGUGUGGCUGUUGGUAUUUCUUUUGCUGGAAGAAUGCCAAACAUAGGGCCAUUGAAAUAGCUUUAUUGUAAACCAAUUAUCUCUGUAAAAACCUUGUCUGCAAAUGUUGUAAUAUCCUACACAGUACUGGUUGUUUGUACUUUAAUUUGUGAAUAGUGGUUGGGCAAAUUUCAGGCUAUCCAAACUUAAAUUCAUCUAACUUAAAAAGUUUCCACAUCAUCAGAGAUAUUAGGAGAAUAAAAUGACAUCUGGGAUAUGGGGAAAUUAUGUCAAAGGACACAUAUGACCCUGGCUCUACUCCCCCUUUCUGUAGACGCAUUCUGGAAUCACGCUGUGCACUGCUCUAAGCUACUCCACAUUGUGUAGCAUUGAUUUAUCAGAUGAUCCCGUGACCUGAGAAACUCUGUUGUAUGAGUAGCAUUUGAUUUCACUUUGAAGAUGACGUUGACUUUGAACCUUCUUAAAUCACUUAUCCAGUUCCACCCAUAAGCCACAGAUGGAUGGAUUAAAAGAGCAAAAGUAGAAAUGUUGGUACCCUAUAAGCAUUUGAAGCAAAUUAAGACUUAUGAGGAUGGAGCUCAUAAAAAGAGAGUCUGACCCUGCGAGUCAAGGCACAGAUGACUGCUCUUCUAACCACAACUGAGCGUGGCUUAAGGCUCUAAGGCAGAGAACUCCUGAUUGUCCACGUGCUCUCCUUCAGCCCCCUCCUUGGCGGGAAGUCAGUGUAGUCCAACUGAAAUUUGCCUGCCCUCAUCCUAGAUACACUAUCCAUCUUUUCACCAACUCUUACGUCUCGGUCUUGUCCUGUCAUUCACUUCUUCAGUCUCUACUGUUGGGGUUUGAACAUGCUUUACCCAAAGGGACUGGCACUGUUAGGAGGUAUGGCAUUGUUGGAGAUGGUAUCUCACCGUGGAAGCUCUGGAAGUCUCCUUCUGUGCCCAGGCUCUACCCAUUGCAGAAGAGAGCUUCCUACGAGCUGCUUGAGGAUGCCAUUCUCUCCUGGUUGCCUUUAGAGAAAGAUGCAAAACUCUGAGCUCCUUCUCUAGCACUAUGUCUGCCAUGAGUUCCGCUAUGAUGAUGUUGGACUAAACCUCUGAAUCUAUAAGCCAGCCCCAAUUAAAUGUUUGCCUGUGUAAGAGUUGCCUUGGUCGUGGUGUUUCUUCAGAAAAAUGAAAACCUAAUUAAAACCCUACCAAAUCUGGCUCCUGCAGCUCUACUCUUACAGAAACUUGACUGUGUAGAGGCAGUAGCAGUAGCAGUACCAACAGAGCCUCUUGCAGACCUCCAACUAGGCUUCUGUACAGGAACAAAACUGAUAUGAUGAGUCUCUCUCUCUCUCUCUCUCUCUCUCUCUCUCUCUCUCUCUCUCUCUCUCUCUGUGUGUGUGUGUGUGUGUGUGUGUGUGUGUGUUUAAAGGGAACUUAAGAGUUGCUUAUAGUUUGUGGACUAGUUAAUCUAAUAAUAGCUGUUUACAAAUGGAAAAUCCAAGAAUCUACUAGCUGUUCAGUCCAGGAGACGGGAUGUCUCAGCCUGGUUUCAGUAUAUGUUUGAAUCCCAGAGAAGUAGACUAUGAUAGAAUGAAGUUACCCAAGAGAGUGGGGCAAUGCAGGCAAAGAGUAAAAGCUUCCUUUGUCCGUGCUCUUUUUAUAUAGGUUUACAAACACCUGAGGAUGUGACCCAGAUUUAAGGUGGAUCUUUCCAUUUUGAAUACAUGUAUAGCUAUCAUAAUAUUGAACAAGCAAGACUAGACUGUUAUUAUUUAGAUCAAGUUGGAGAAAAGAAAAGAGGUAUAGAGAAGAACGCAAGCCAAAAACCAUCUCACGUCUAAUAUACCAGAAAGGAAGUAAAGUUGACAGAUUCCACAAAGUGUCUUUUCAAGAAACAACUGGAAAAAGAAAUCCUGACACAACAACCGUUUCUUUAGUUCAUCCUGAGUUGGAUUAUAUGUAAGAUUCUAUUGAGGAAUGGCAUUAUAAAUCCCACUCUUACAUGCCAUAAUAUUCAACAAUCCAAAGCAACUUGAAUUUAUCACUUGUGCUCCUAGAGCGAUGUCUUUUCUUUUUUGUUUGCUAAUAUCAGACAUAUACUGAAUUCCUAUCUUCUGUGAUUUUAUUCUGAAAGCCCAAAAGUUACUUUAAAUGAGACUAAGGGUUCUGCUAAGGGUUAUGAAUAGAAUGGUGACUUUCAUAGAACACUGUAUAAGCUGGACCACAUCACAGGCACACAACAAGGUGUUGAAAAUUUGCAUACUUUCUAUUUCGAUUGCCAAGUUGGUAGUCAUUUUUAAAGAGAAUUUUUGUCCAGAAGGCAGGGUAUUAUUUUACUGGCACAAACUGGAGCUAUUUACCAGGUUUAUUCUAUAGUUACACUUCCAAGGUUAAAGAAAAAAAGCAAAAUGGGGCAAUCUCUUUUUACAUAUCUCCAAACAUCUGGCAAUCCAUGGUCAGGAACCAUAGGGGAUCAGCAGGAAUAGAUCUGCCUAGCUGACUGUGAGCAGCUCUGUUUUACGUCGCCUCUCUGGGGAUGGGUGGAGGAAGAAGUUUGACCUUUAUUUCUGGCAAUGAUAAUGACAGGAAGCGCCCCAGCUUAUCAUCAAAGUCAACUUGAGAGUAAUGUAUGCAAGUAAUAACACUUUAAUUUGUGGCUCUGAUGAACCCUAAAAUAAUGAACAAGAAAAGGAUAAUGCCUAGGAGAAGAGCAGAUCGGGAAACUGGUUCUGAUAAGUUGUCCCAUGCAGUUCUCAUUGGCUCUCGAGUCUCGGGUUUUACAUACAUAAUUGGAAGAUGGCUUUUCUAUGCACACUUAGCUCUUAAAAUUUUCCAGCUAAUAUAGCAACUUGUGUUUUAUUUUCUGUCGGCUGUAGAUAGUUUCUCCAUCUCUCACCUUACUGUUUCUCUUCAACAUUCAUGAACUUUUUGUACCUAGGAAGAAUAAAGUCAUAGCGGUUCAUCUUAUAAAUUAAAGAUGUGAAAUGAGAAUGAGUUGUCUCUAUAGAAUACCGAAAAUUGGGAUUUGUUGUCAGUCUGCCCUACACUUAAGAACUGUGAGACUUGCUGAAGCUCUUUGGUAGAAAAUUGCUAAAUAAAAGUUACUCUUAUCACAGAUUAGCUCCCCCGUUUGAAACAGAAGCAUCUGAGAACAGAUUGACACUCGUCACUCUCUGUAGACCAGCUAAUCAAACAUUGCUGUCUGGUGCCAUGUGCUACACCCUGGAGCUGACACGCAUUUAGCCUCUGAAGAAAGGGCAUGAAACUGCAGCAGUGCGCCAUGAAAUCUGUUUAAAUCUGGCAAAUGUACCGCAAUGCUUUGUUAGCAGUUAUCAAUUCACAGUGGUGGCUGAUAAGAACAGAGUCAUAAUGGGAUGUCAGGAAAAAUGAUGAUCGCUUGCUAGUAAGUAGUCAUUCAGUUGCCCAGAAUUAAACAGUUUGACUUCCACUGUGGCAUUAUGGCUACUACCAUGAAACUCAUAGCUUCUAUUACCCCCGCGGGCCCCACCUCUGUUCUGAAGAAAACAGAUUUAGUUUGGGAAGUGAUGUGCUGGCAUCACGACAAUGGUAUCUCUCCUAAAAAAAUAGGCAGGGACAAAGAUCCAUUCUUUCUAAGACUGGAGCAUGUUGAACUGCUCUCAACAUGAACACCAUGAGAAAAUAAAAAAUAGUGAGUUUUAAACAAAAAUAGUGAGUUUUAAACCAAUAUGACUAUCCAAGACAGUUAUAAAUACCAUAUUUGUUUAUUUUCGAAGUCAAUUAUCAUCUAACUAGGUUUCUCUAAAUCACGAAUCAUUUCGCUUCUUCUCACACUGGCAAAUUCCAGAGUUGUUUUUCAAAUGGAUAUUGGCAAAUAAGUUGAGCAGGUGAGGUAAAAAGUGCAACUUAUGUAACUCUCCCACUAUGUUUAAAGCCGCCCAAUUCAUUUAUGUUUAAAUAUCAUUUUAUUGUGAAGUUUAAGAAUUAUUAAAAGAGAAUUUUUAAAAUAAAACACCACACACACACACACACACACACACACACACACACACACACACACACACACACACACAUUCCUAAAUAGGAAACCAUAUACAGUCUGUAUAAUGCUGCAUAAAUGUACGUUUUCAGGAUGACCAUCUACUAUUGGAUCAUCAGUUGGUGUCCUCUUCCCUAGGGGAAAGUAUUUCUCUCACUCUAGGCACUUCUUCAGUAUCUGCAGUUCUUUAGAUAGGGAUGAAGCCUCGUGAGCUUCCUUCCAUCUGCCUUAGCAUGUCUUCCUUGGCGCUAUCCCUGUUGAACUCUUGUUCAGGCAGUCAGUCAUAUGAGUGAGACUUUAUGAGUGUAGCUCCUUACAUUCCUAGUAGACAAAAUCUCAAAGGAAACUCCCUGAUCUUCUGACUCCAAAACUCUUCCUGCCCACUACUCUGUAAGGAUCCCAAAGCCAUCCAUGCAGGAGGUGUGCUGUAGAUGUAUCCAUUGGGACUGGGCUCCAUACCUCUGAAUUUUUAUUAUGGGUUUCAGCAAUGAUCCCCUUAUGAUGCAAAGAAAACAUAAAAAUAAUUAGGGGAACAUGGGGUCUUGGAUUUUAAAAGAGAACAAGGAGGGUACAUGGGGAUGUUUGGAAGAAAGACAGGGAAGGGGGGAAUAGUUAAAAUAGAUCAUUUUGAUUUAUCUAUUAUGUCCUAGCACAGCCUCUCAAUUGCCCCUCUAAGCUUCAUAAACAUCCGGAGAGCACCUAUCCAAACCCUUCCACAGAGACACUCAUCAUGGAAUUCUCCAGCACUUCUGUGUCAUAUCCAACCCUUCCUUGUUCUUCAGUUUCCUAUGUCAAAAUUAUUCUUUCCUUUUCUCUCAUUUCCCCCAUAUUUCUUCCCCAGGAACCUACAGAUGAGAGUAACAAUGGCCAGAUGAGUAAUAUAUGCAGUUAAGUUUGAUUGUCUCUAACGCCAGUCUUACUUUUGUUUCACACCAACAGUUUAAAUUAUAUUGGAAAGGGCCGGAUGCUCGUAUCUAGACUUGGAGAAAGUGCGUCUUCAUUUGGAACUCUAGUGAGCAAAUGCGAGUUAACUACUGCAUUAUCUCAUCCCGAGAAUACAUGAACAUUCAAUUAGGUGUCUUCUCAGUAGAAUGAAAUUGUGUUUCAAAGUAUACACCUUCAGGAAGAGAGCUGGUCGUUGAACUUACACAUAAACACUCUUUAGAAUUUUUUAGUAAUCUUAAUGGCAAUCCGCAGUGAUGAAUGGGAGCUGCUAGUGAACUGAAAAGCAGGAUAAACUCAUUAAUCAACUCAAUAUAGCAUCUGUCACAGGUAACUUUCGAGUUAUCUGUUUUGUCCUCAUAUCUGGAAAGGCUUAGUUGCCAGAUAAGUAUUGAUAAAAUGCCAGCGAGAAAAAUAUCUGAAAUUGAUGUAUAGCGGCUUUGACAUCAUGUACUUGAAUUACAAAAGAACGCCGGUAUUUGUUAUCACACUAACUCUUGUAGGUACCAACAGUAGAUGGAAGUUCUGUAGGAAAUUAGAGCUAAGAAUUGAAAUAAAUUGGAUAAUAAUAGCAUUAUCACAUUCCUAUUCUAUGGAUAGUCAAGCCGAUUUCUCAUUCCCAACUCUGUGUUUCAGAUUCAGCUCUUUUCAGAAUUCUGAGGCCAAGAUCAGGAGUUUGACGUCCAUUCCUCUCCUUUAGUCACCUUUACAAAUUACCUCUGAACAACGGCAUAGACCCACUUCCAGGGUGUCAUUGUGUCUUGUCAUCAUUUUAAGCCUCUCCCUUGCUUUGUGAUCUUUUACUAUACCCAUAAAGCACAGGUUACUUUUGUAGCUCCAUGUUUCUCAUCACCCUACUGCUACUGUCCCCAUAUGUUUUCUCGUCUCUUAGAGAAGAAUCAGACAUUUUGGUGCAGCUAAGUCUCUCUUUAGGCUUACAUUUGAUUAUAAGGGAGUCGGCAUGUGGAAGAGAAAAAUCCCAAAGGCUUUGAAUAUAAGCCGAAAGCAAAAGUGAAGGAUUUUAUGGUAUCCACUAGCUAACCAGUGUCCAGCUGUCUUGCUUGGUAUGGAUGCACACAGAGGUGGAAUUUUACCUAAGAAAGUAAAACUUCAUUUUAAUUUUUCUUUCCUUCCUUCCUUUUAUCUUCCUCCCUCCCUCUUCUUGCCCUCACCUUCCUCGAUCUUACAGAUAGGCAUGCAAAUUUGCAUUUGGAGGCUAGAGAUGAAAGAUGAUGUUUUUCUCAGCUUCAUUCCCUCAUUCCACCAUGCAUCAUCGGUUUGUAUUUUGAGAUGAGAAUACUCAGUGAACCUACCAGUCAUUGAUUAAACUAGACUGACUGCCAAAGCCUUCUAAGGCUUAGACUCCAUCCUCACCUCCUCCACCCCCACCCAGGCUGAGAUCAACCCUGUGAGUCUGGUCCGGCUUAAGUGAGUGUUUGGGAUCUCAACUCAGUUUCUUCUGCUUAGGAGACAAAUACUUUCCUCCCUGAGCCACGCUGCCCCCAUGUCCCCCAGCCAAGAGAGUAGCAUGCUUCUUGUAUGAAUCAUAUAUCAUUGUAACUUUAAGUCUUCAGUGUGUGUUAUGGUGGGGAUGAUUAUGAGUUCCAAUGAAGUAAAGGUAACUAUAGGUCAUUUCAGUGGCCAUUAUACACACCCAAGUUUGUCUUAUCACUAAUACUCUUUCUCUCAUAACCUUGGACAGUGCUAUAUAUCACCAAAUUUGAGGAUUGGAACAGUGCAAUGGUCUGAGCACUUUCUUGACUCAGUGAGUUUGAUUUUAAUGCUAUUUGUGUUUUAUUCCAUUUUGCUUUGGUUUUUGUGACUUUUUUUUUAAUUUCAUCCCUAAUAUGCUCCUUCCUAUGACUAUAUUGCAUAUUUUCUUCUGUCCCCUGAAAUUAUCUUUGAGAUAUAGUAGAUUUGUACAUCCUUCUCACAUACCAUUCAUCUUUUUCUUUUAUUGGAUUUUUUUAUUUACAUUUCAAAUGUUAUUCCUUUCCCAGUUUCCCGGUCAUAAGCCCCCUAUCCUAUCCCUCUCCCUUUCUUCUAUAAGGGUGUUCCCCUCACUAUUCCACCCCUCCUUCCCACCCCUGACAUUCCCCUACACUGGUGGUCCAACUUUGGCAGGACAAAGGGCUUCUCCUUCCAUUGGUGCCCAACAAGGCCAUCAUCUGCUACAUAUGCCACUGGAGUCAUGGGUCAGACCGUGUAUAGUCUUUGGGUAGUGGUUUAGUUCCUGGGAGGUCUGGUUGGUUGGCAUUGUUGUUCUUAUAGGGUUGCAAGCCCUUUCAACUCUUUGAAUCCUUUCUCUAAUUCCUCCAAAGGGGUCCAAUUCUCAAUUCAAUGGUUUGCUGGUAGCGUUUGCCUCUGUAUUUGACAUGCUCUGGCUGUGUCUCUCAGGAGACACCUAUAUCUGGUUCCUGUCAGCAUGCUUCAUCAAUCUAACCAGUUUUGGUGGCUAUAUGUAUAUGGGCCAACUUGGGGGAAGGCUAUGAAUGGCUGUUCCUUCAGUCUUUGCUCCAAAUUCUGACUUCAUAUCCCUUCCUAUGAAUAUUUUUGUUCCCCCUUUUAAGAAGGAAUGAAGCAUCUGCAUUUUGGUCAUCCUUCUUGAGCUUCAUGUGGUCUGUGGAUUGUAUUUUGGGUAAUUCAAGCUUUUGAGCUAAUAUCCAAUUAUAUGUGAGGUAUAUCAUGUGUGUUUUUCUGUGAUUAGGUUACCUCAGGUAGGAUGAUAUUUUCUAGUUUAAUCUAUUUGCCUAUAAAUUUCAUGAAACCAUUGUUUUUGAUAGCUGAGUAGUACUCCAUUGUGUAGAUGUACCACAUUUUCUGCAUCCAUUCCUCUUUUGAAGGGCAUCUGGGUUCUUUACAGCUUCUGGCUAUUAUAAAUAAGAUGGCUAUGAACAUAGUGGAGCACGUGUCCUUGUUGUUUGUUGGAGAAUCUUUUAGGUAUAUGCCCCGGAGAUGUAUAGCUAGGUCCUCAGGUGUUGCAAUGUCCAAUUUUCUGAGGAACCUCCAGACUGAUUUCCAAAGUGUUUGUACCAGUUUGCAAUCUCACCAACAGUGGAGAAGUGUUUCUCUUUCUCCACGUCUUUGCUGUCAUCUGCUGUCACCUGACUUUUUUAUCUUAGCCAUUCUGAUUGGUUUGAGGUGGAAUCUUAGGGUUAUUUUGAUUUGCAUUUCCUUGAUGACUAAGGAUGUUGAGUAUUUCUUUAGCUACUUCUCUGCCAUUCAAUAUUCCUCAGCUAAGAAUUCUUUGUUUACCUUAGUACCCCAUUUUUAAGUAGGGUUAUUUGGCUCUCUGGAGUCUAACUUCUUGAGUUCUUUGUAUAUAUUGGAUAUUAGUCCUCUAUCAAAUGAAGAAUUGGUAAAGAUCUUUUCCCAAUCUGUUGGUUGCUAUUUUGUCCCAAUGACAGUGUCCUUUGCUUUACGGAAGCUUUGCAGUUUUAUGAGAUCCCAUUUGUCGAUUCUUGAUCUUAGAGCAUAAGCCAUUGGUGUUUUGUUCAGGAAAAUUUCCCCAGUGCCCAUGUGAUUGAGACUCUUCCCCAUUUUUACUUCUAUUAGUUUGAGUGUAUCUGGUUUGAUGUGGAGGUCCUUGAUCCACGUAGACUAAAACUUUCUACAGGGUGAUAAGAAUGGGUCAAUUUGCAUUCUUCUACAUGCUGACCUACAGUUGAACCAGCACCAUUUGUUGAAUAUGCUUUUUUCCAUUGAAUGGUUUUAGCUCCUUUGUCAAAGGUCAAGUGACCAUAGGUGUGUGGGUUCAUUUCUGGGUCUACAAUUCUAUUCCACUGAUUAACCUGCCUGUCUCUCUACCAAUAACAUACAUACAGUUUUUAUCACUAUUGCUCUGUAAUACUGCUUGAGGUCAGGGAUGGUGAUUCCCCCAGAAGUUCUUUUAUUGUAGAAAAUGGUUUUCGCUUUUUCUAACUCUAUGAAGAAUUGAGUUGGAAUUUUGAUGGGGAUUGCAUUGAAUCUGUAGAUUGACUUGGCAAAAUGGCAAUUUUUACUAUAUUAAUCCUGUCAAUUCAUGAGCAUGGGAGGUCUUCUAAUCUUCUGAAAUCUUCAAUUUCUUUCUUCAGAGACUUGAAGCUCUUGUCAUACACAUCUUUCACUGCUUAGUGUCACAUCGAAGUAUUUUAUAUUGUUUGGGACUAUUGUGAAGGGUUUCAUUUCCCUAAAUUCUUUCUUGGCCUGUUUAAUCUUUGAGUAGAGGAAGGCUACUGAUUUAUUUGAGUUAAUGUUAUGCCCAGCCACUUUACUGAAGUUGUUUAUCAGGUUUAGUAGUUCUCUGGUGGAACUUUUAGGGUCACUUAAGUACACUAUCAUAUCAUCUGCAAAUAGUGAUAUUUAGAUUUCUUCCUUUCCAAUUUUUAUCCCUUUGACCUCCUUUCAUUGUCUGCUCUGGCUAGGACUUUGAGUACUAUAUUGAAUAAUUAGGGAGAGAGUGGGCAGCUUUUGUCUAGUCCUGAUUUUACUACGAUUGCUUUAAGUUUAUCUCCAUUUAGUUUAAUGUUAGCUAAUGGUUUGCUGCAUAUUGCUUUUGCCAUGUUUAGGUAUGGGCCUUGUAUUUCUAAUCUUUCCAGGACUUUUAUCAUGAAGGGGUGUUGAAUUUUGUCAAAUGCUUCCUUGGCAUUUAAUGAAAUGAGCAUGUGGUUUUUUUUCUUUGAGUUUGUUAAUAUAGUGGAUUAUGUUGAUGGAUUGCUGUGUAUUGUACUGUUCCUCCAUCUCUGAGAUGAAGCCAACCUGAUCAUGAUGGAUGACCAUUUUGAUGUGUUGUUGGAUUCAGUUUGUGUGAAUUUUCUUGAGUAUUUUUGCUUCAAUAUUCACGAGGGGAAUUGGUUUGAACUUCUCUUUCUUUGUUAGGAUUUUGUGUAGUUUAGGGACAAGCAUAAUUGUGGCUUCAUAGAAGGAGUUAGAUAGUGCUCCUUCUGUUUCAACUUUGUGGAAUAGUUUGAACAGUAUUGGUAUCAGGUCUUUUAUGAAGGUUUGAAAGAAUUCUGCACUAAACCCCUCUGGUCCUGGGCUCUUUUUGGUUGGGAGAAUUUUAAAAACUACUUCAAUUUCUUUAGGAGUUAUGGGGAUAUUUAUAUGGUUUAUCUCUUCCUGAUUUAACUGGUAUUUGUCUAGAAAAUUAUCCAUUCCCUCCAGAUUUUCUAGUUUUGUUGAACAUAGGCUUUUGUAGUAGGAUCUGAUGAUUUUUUAAAAGUUUCCUCAGAUUCUCUUGUUAUGUCUCCCUUUUCAUUUCUGAUUUUGUUAAUUUCUAUACACUCUCUGUGCCUUCUGGUUAGUCUGGCUAAGGUCUUAUCUAUUUUGUUGAUUCUCUUAAAGAACCAGUUUCUGGUUUUGUUGAUUCUUUGUAUAGUCCUUUUUGUUUCUAUUUGAUUGAUUUGAGCCCUGAAUUUGAUUAUUUCCUUCCUUCUACACCUCUUGGCUAUAUUUGCUUCUUAUUGUUCUAGAGCUUUUAGGUAUGCUGUUAAGCUGUUAAUGUAUGGUCUCUCCAGUUUCUUUUUGGAGGCACUCAGAGCUAUGAGUUUUCCUCUUAGCACUGCUUUCAUUGUGUCCCAUAAGUUUGGGUAUGUUUUGCCUUCAUUUUCAUUAAGUUCUAAAACGUCUUUAAUUUCUUUCUUAUUUCUUCCUUGACCAAAUUAUCAUUGAGUAGAGUGUUGUUCAACUUUCAUGUAUAUGUGGGCUUUCUGUCAUUUUUGUAUUUGUUGAAGACCAGCCUUAUUCUUUGGUCAUCUGAUAGAAUGCAUGGUAUUAUUUCUAUCAUCCUGUAUCUGUUGAAUCCUGUUUAGUGGCCUAUAUAUGUUCAAUUUUGGAGAAGGUGCCAUGAGGUGCUUGGAAGAAGGUAUAUCCUUUUGUUUUAGUGUGAAAUGUUCUAUAAAUAUCUGUUAAAUCCAUUUGGUUCAUAACUUUUGUUAGUUUCUCUAUGUCUCUGUUUAAUUUCUGUUUCCAUGAUCCGUCCAUUGAUGAGAGGGGGUUAUUGAAAUCUCCUACUAUUAUUGUGUGAGGUGCAAUGUGUGAUUUGAGCUUUAGCGAGGUUUCUUUUAUGAAUUUUGGUGCUAUUGCAUUUCGGGCAUAUAUAUUUAGGAUUGAGAGUUCACCUUGGUGGAUUUUUCUUUUGAUGAGUAUGAUGUCAAUUCUUAUCUUUUUUGAUGACUUUUGGUUGAAAAUUGAUUCUAUUUGAUAUUACAAUCGUUAUUCAGGCUUGUUUCUUUGAAUCUUUUGCUUGGAAAAUUGUUUUCCAGCCUUUUACUCUGAGGUAGUGUCUGUCUUUGUCUCUGAGGUGUGUUUCCUGUAUGCAGCAAAAUCCCGGGUCCUCUUUACAUAUCCAUUCUGUUCAUCUAUGUCUUUUUAUUGGGGAAUUGAGUUCAUUGAUGUUAUUUGAUAUUAAGAAAUAGCGAUUGUUGCUUCCUGUUAUUUUUGUUGUUAGAAGUGGAAUUCUGUUUGUGUGUCUCUCUUUUUUUGGUGUUGUUGCAAAGAAAUUACUUUCUUGCUUUUUCUAGGGUGUAGUUUCCCUUCUUGUGUUGGAGUUUUCCAACUAUUAUACUUUGUAGUACUGGAUUUGCAGAAAGAGCCCCAAGAACAGUUUUGUAAAUUUUCUGUCUCUUAUUGCCAUCUUUCAGCUAUUCAUGGCAUGACAUAAAUAGUGGCCUAAGAAAUAAUGGUUAAGUAAUGCCAGUCCUAAAAACAAAACAUCCUUACAUUGUCUUUUAUUUAAUGUGACUUAAGAGAACUUUAGAGCCUUAACAUCCAUACACACAGAGGAACUUGUUAAACAUCCAUGUCCCAUGAUGGACCAGCUUUUCUCUCAGUCUCUCUCUCUCUCUCUCUCUCUCUCUCUCUCUCUCUCUCUCUCUCUCUGUUGUUGUUGUUUUGGUUUGGUUUUCUAUGCUUUAAUGUUUGGGAUUGUUUUGAAUAUUUCAUCAUGGUAAGUUUGUUCUCCCUGAGUAUUUAUGGAUUUCCAGAAGUUGUUAUCUCUUCUUAGAAGAUAUUUAUGAUUAUCCCAACCAUAUGAGUCCUCAAUACCCAUAUCUUUGACUAAAUUAAAUGUCCCUUUCAAUAUCUAGUUUUUUCUUAGAAAUCUCAGACUGUAGGAGCCCUCCUCCAGCAGGAGAUCUCAGUCUUGUUAUAUGGCUUUUAUUAACUUGCCUAGUGUCUCCCCUAUCUAGUAUUUAUUAAGUAUUGUUUAAUUGAAAUUAAAUUACAUUUUAAAAGAUAGGCUUUUUCUAUAUACCUAGGGCUGAUCUCAUACUUAGGAUUCUCUGUUUUCUCCUUUUAAGUUGUGGUUUGUAGCAUCAAGCCUGGCUUAGUAUUUAUUCUAUUUCUGUGAACUCUAUUCUCCUGCUAGAAUGAAAGAUUCACUCAAUCAUAGAUAUUAUCUCUCUUGUUUUCAUUCGUAUACUCAAGGUGAUAUAGAUUGGUACACAGGUACAUAAAUUGACUAAUAAAUUAUAUAUUUUCAGUGGCAAAAGUAUUAUAACUUUGAUAAGUGUGAGUCAGAAAGAAAAUUAUUCAAAAACAGUUGAAUUGUUGAAUUAACAAGUCAACAUGGUGUUUCAGAAGUUAGAAUUUUUGUGUGUCCUAUUUCUGUUGGUUGAUAUGAUUUUGUUGACCUUAUGCUUUAGUUUUUUUUUUAAAAUUUAAAGUAACACUGAAAUUUAUUUCAUACAGUAUAAUAUAAACUACUAUAACAUAUGCAACAAUUAAGGUAAUUUACAGGUUGUAUGAGCUGGUUUUGCAUCAAGUUGAUGUGAAUUAGGGUCAUUAGUGAAGAAAAAGCCUCAGUUGAGGAAGCUGUAAAACAUUUUCUCCAUUAGUGAUCAAUGGAGGAAGGCCUGGCCCUUUGUGUGGAGUGCCUUUCCUGGGUUGGUAGUCCUAGGUUUUAUAAAAUCAUAGGCUGAGCAAAGCCACAGGAAGGAAGUAAGUAAGCAGCACCACUCUAUGACCUCUGCAUCAGCUCCUGCCUCCAGGUGCCUGCCCUGCUUUAGUUUCUGUCCUGACUUUCUUCAAUAAUGAACAGCAAUAUGGAAAUGUAAGCUAAGUAAAUCUGUUUCUCACCAACUUUCUUUUCAGUCAUGGUGCUUCAUUGUAGCAAUAACGAUCCUAAGACACAGAGUAACUCAUAAUCUUUAUGAAACUCUAACUGAAAACCUAAUUUUUGUAGAAGUAGAAAUUAAACAGAAAGAUUUAAACUGGCUAAAUAUUCUGGACUAAUGAGUAACAAACUUGAGAGUCAGUUUCAGAUAGUCUGAGUUUUUGUUCGUACUUUUAAUAUGUAUGUAUUUUUGUUUGUAUAUAUGCAUAUGUAUGAAUUUAUUAUCUAUCCAUUUAUAAUCUAUCUAUAAUCUAUAAUCUAUCAAUCUAUCAUCUAUCUAUCUACUUAUCUAUCUAUAUCUAUCAUCUAUCUAUCUGUCUACCUGUCAUCUAUCUAUCAUUUAUCUAGCUACCUAUCUCUCUCUCAUCUAUUUAUCUAUCAUCUAUCUAUCAUCUGUGUAUCUAUCUACCUAUCAUCUAUCAUCUAUUUUUCUAUCUUCUAUCUAUCUGUCUACUUGUCACCCAACUAUCAUUUAUCUAUUUAUCUAUCAUCUAUCUAUCUAUCUAUCUAUCUAUCUAUCUAUCUAUCUAUCAUCUAUCUAUCUAUCUAUCUAUCUAUCUAUCAUUUAUCUAUUUUAGUUUUGGUUUUAUAACAUAGCCCAGGUUAGCCUCAGCCCUCUUCUGCCUCUGCUUUCUUGGUGCUGGGUUAAAGGGAUGUAAUAUUAUUAUAGGCUGCUCCUUCAAUUUACAAUCUGUCCUUCCUGCAUGAUGUGCUGGAGUUGUGGUGGUACAGAACUUGUGAGCGUGUCAACCCAAUAUCUCCUUUAACUUGAGGCCCAUACCACAAGAGGGAGCUCGUACCCUACAGUGAGUGGAUGGCCAGGAACUAAAUACUGGAUAGCUCAGAGACCUAGUGUAAAGGCAAACAGGACUGCCCUCCUUGCCCAAACCUGACUAAAUAAUUCCUAAAAAUAUUCUGCUAUUCUACUCGAGUCACAGAUCAGUGCCUUGUCCGGUCAUCAUCAGAGAGGCUUCCUUCAGCAGUAGUCAAUGGGAGUUGUGCAGAGACCCACAGCCAGACAGUGUUGGGAGAGAGUCUAUAAAAUAGAUGUUUCUAUCUGAUCCUUCAAAUUGGAGCUCAUGGAACCCCUCAGAAGAGGGAAAAGAAAGGAAGAGGGAACGGAGGACACCAGGAGAACGUGGCCCGACACAUCAACUAAGCAAGGCUCACACAGGCUCACAUAAACUGAAUCUACAAGCAUGAGAGCUACAUCAGUCUCUGUCAGGUCCUCUGCUUACCUGUUGUGACUCUUAGCUUGCUGUUUUUGUGGGGCCACCAACAGUGGGAACAGGUGUGUCUAUGAUUCUCCUGCCUGCUCAUUAGACUCCUUUUAUCCUUUCAGGUUGCCUUGUCUAGGCUGGCUGUGAAGGGUUUUGCCCUAUCUUAUUGUAUCUUGUUUUGUUUAGUUGUUGCCUCUUGGAGGCCUGCUCUUUUCUGAAAGGAAAUGAAAAGGGACUGGGUCUCCGGGAGAGGGGAGUUGGGAGAAAACUUGGAGUGGAGAGAGCAGAAAUUGUGGUUGAGAUGUAUUGUGUGAGAGAAGAAUCUAUUUUCAGUGAAAAAAAAUAAAUAAAGGGAACGAACAUCAUCCCUGUGAGAUUUAACAAGCACUUGCUGACAGCUCCUCAUGUUGCAAAGAGUUAAGUGCUUUUGAUUGAGAGAACAACACUGAACAGUUACAUGCUAAAUGCAGCUUUUACAUUUAAUGGACUAGACAGAUGAGUCAACUAUGAGUGAACUGUUAACUAUAAUUACCAUGGAAAGCAUUUGAUGAAUAAACACUCACACAGAGGCUAAGCAAACACAUAAAUACACGUGCCAAUGGCACUUGCCAUAUGUUGUAGAGUGAAUUUGCUAUUCCCAGUGAUUCAGGAGAGCUUUUUAUAUUUUUAAGCUAGAUUCAGGAGGCUCUGCAAGAGUUACCUAGGAGAAUAGAAAUGAUCCAGAUGGAGAAUCACAACAAUGGUAACCUGAGUUGUAAUUUGAUUUGCGUCUUGUAUUACAAGCACACCUGGAAGGAUACAGGUUUUCACUGUGACAUGGCCAUUUGGGUUGCUAGUAACACACAAUCUCAUGCAAUUCAUCUUUUCAUUUCUACAUCCAUCAGGGUUGUUUAUUUUUUAUACUCUGGAAGACAAAGCCAGCAAUGGAAAAGAACAUAAGUAACAAAUUUUAAAACGUGCACAAGUGGUUUUUAACAUUCAAUUAGCAAAUUUAAUUAAAUAUUCUAAUAGAUAAAAGCAAUGCUGCAUUUUAAUAGAUUUACCUAUGAAAAACACUUUCUAUGACUUCCAAUAAUCUGUAUGAUAACUUCUCUUUAAGGAAAUUACAAUUAAAAGGGUUUCAUUUAUUUUACCCUAAGCAACCCUUAAUGCUUUAAAAUAACCAUUGUUGAAAGAAUAAAUAAAAUAAUCACUAUGGGCUUCACAAGCAUUUUAUUAUUUUCAGUUUUAUACAUAUAAUCUUAUUUUAUUAUAUUAUUCUGUGAAACAACAGGUUUUCUACCCAUCUUAAAUUGUCUUUGUAUGUUCCUGUGUGUAUAUGUGUACAUACACAUCUGUUUUCCUUUUUUAUGGAAAACAAACAUUUGAAAAGAGAAAGUAUUAUACAUGUUUAUUUUCAUCUAGUUCUCUGUCAUCGUAAUGAAACAUCUGAUACUAUAAUAAUCAAGUAGGAGAAAAGUAAAGAAAAUAUUUAAUAAGUUCUUUUAAUCAAAUUUCAGAAAACCAUUGGAAUGUGAAGAUCUUAGAUUUACAAAAACAUUUAAGUGGAUUAAUUUUCUUUUUCAAAUGCAUUAAUAUGUGAUUGAAGAAUGCAAUGGAACUGUUCAUCUUUUUACUACAUAUUGGCCCAUUUAUUUUCAAGAAAUGAGGAUCUGUCCUGUGAUUAAUUGCAUAACAUUGGCAGCUCUGCUUUUUGUUAAAGAACAUCCCAUCGGUAACUUGGAAAGAAUUUAAAGACAUUUAUCAAAGUUCCCAUUUGGAGUCUACAGAAACAAUAAAGUAGAUAUUGACUUCUCCUGAGGAGUGGAUCAUGAUUUAUUGAUUCAAAGGAAGAGGCCAUAUUUACCUUUUGUGAAAAUAAUUCUGGACAGUCAAUGAAAUGUAAUGUCCUCUACAUUAGUUCUAAUCAGCACCAACUUGAAACAUAUCACAAGAUGACACUGUUUAAAUAGCAUUUGCAUCAUUUGGUUUAAAAAUAUUUAUGCAUUUAGAUAAUCCUUGUAAUACAUAGACUAUUAAAAGUGGAAAGUAUGCCAAGAAUUUCACAAUAAAGGGAAAACAAUGUUA
Molecule: non-coding RNA, 28971 nt
Organism: Rattus norvegicus (Norway rat)
Lineage: Eukaryota; Metazoa; Chordata; Mammalia; Rodentia; Muridae
Source: RefSeq, a predicted model, not a curated record